CACACUCCGGUCCAGUCAUACUCAACUGAGCGGACCAGACAUCACUCUGUUUCACUCUGCGUGUCAUACACAUUAACUGAAGAAUCAAAGCAUGAAACGCAGGCAGUUGUUGCUUUCUCUGCCUCUCUUACCCACCAUUACUGAGACGCUGGAGGACUUGCCUGUCCAUCCAUCAUCCUCCCAGUCUACCCAGGGCUCCCAAUCUCUAGAGGAGUACAUGACCAGUAUCCAGGCCCUCGCCCGCCCUGUUGAGGCCCCGAGCUGCGGCCCCGUCAGACUCCAGAGGUCCCCCAGGCUACGCCAGUUCUCAAAGGCUCAGAUGAAGCUUUCUGUCUCAGCCUCGCUUCCUCGCGGCUCUCCCCGCGCACUAAGGACUUCCAGACCUUCCAGUCUGAGUCUAAACAGCACAGAGGAUUUUUCUCUCAAGAUGGGCAGAGAACGAGACAGCAAGGGCAAAGACCCCAUGGACUGGCUGUUUGGACAGAUAAGGACUUGAAGGGAGACGUUGUUGCCGUGUCCUGUCGGCACUUUGGUGGAAUAUCUCACAAUGAAACAAGGCUGGAAGAACCUGCUCUUUGUAUGAGGAUUAAAACAGAGCACCGUAUGAAGGGACUUACAACGAUGUCUGAGCAAAGACGAAAUCACCAUAUGUGAAGAUCUAUUUAUUUCUAUGCACUGAGGACUGAAGUCUACGUGUUUACAUUGUUUAAUAUUUUGUAAAGAUGUAAAGGAUAUAGUUUGUAAUAAAAUACUAAAAUAACCAUGAA
This is a long non-coding RNA of Seriola dumerili (greater amberjack), 767 nucleotides long. RefSeq lists it as uncharacterized. The transcript has 2 exons. The record is from RefSeq and is a predicted model, not a curated record. NCBI's taxonomy places the organism in Eukaryota, Metazoa, Chordata, Actinopteri, Carangiformes, Carangidae.